GAUCCUGGCUCAGAUUGAACGCUGGCGGCAGGCCUAACACAUGCAAGUCGAACGGUAACAGAAAGCAGCUUGCUGCUUUGCUGACGAGUGGCGGACGGGUGAGUAAUGUCUGGGAAACUGCCUGAUGGAGGGGGAUAACUACUGGAAACGGUAGCUAAUACCGCAUAACGUCGCAAGACCAAAGAGGGGGGACCUUCGGGCCUCUUGCCAUCGGAUGUGCCCAGAUGGGAUUAGCUAGUAGGG
RNAcentral lists this ribosomal RNA (243 nucleotides) under uncultured bacterium. RNAcentral's name for it is "partial 16S ribosomal RNA". It matches the Rfam family "Bacterial small subunit ribosomal RNA", at positions 15 to 253 of the family's 1533-position model. The record is from RNAcentral.